GUGUUGUAUGAAAGGAGAGAUGUUUAGCACUCCCCUAGACAAGGAUGGACAACAUAUGUACUGGUAAGGCACUGUCGUCAUUUGGCGACUCUUACCACCACAUUUUU
Molecule: small nuclear RNA, 107 nt
Organism: Nylanderia fulva
Lineage: Eukaryota; Metazoa; Arthropoda; Insecta; Hymenoptera; Formicidae
Source: RefSeq, a predicted model, not a curated record